AGUGAACGCUGGCGGCGUGCCUAACACAUGCAAGUCGAACGAGAACGGGUUAUAGCUUGCCAUAACUGUCAGCUAAGUGGCGCACGGGUGAGUAAUAUAUAGUUAACCUGCCCUCGAGAAAGGAAUAACAGUUGGAAACGACUGCUAAUGCCCUAUAUGCCUUUAUGUCAUAAGACAGCAAGGGAAAUAUUUAUAGCUUGAAGAUCGGCCUGUACAGUAUCAGUUAGUUGGUGAGGUAAUGGCUCACCAAGACAAUGACGCUUAACUGGUUUGAGAGGAUGAUCAGUCACACUGGAACUGAGACACGGUCCAG
This 313-nucleotide ribosomal RNA is filed under the name uncultured Arcobacter sp. RNAcentral describes it as "bacterial SSU rRNA". It matches the Rfam family "Bacterial small subunit ribosomal RNA", at positions 29 to 334 of the family's 1533-position model. Lineage: Bacteria; Pseudomonadati; Campylobacterota; Epsilonproteobacteria; Campylobacterales; Arcobacteraceae. The record is from RNAcentral.